Molecule: ribosomal RNA, 292 nt
Filed under: uncultured bacterium
Lineage: Bacteria
Description: partial 16S ribosomal RNA
Rfam family: Bacterial small subunit ribosomal RNA
Source: RNAcentral
GUGUCAGCAGCCGCGGUAAUACGAAGGGGGCGAGCGUUGUUCGGAUUUACUGGGCGUAAAGGGCGCGCAGGCGGCGAGUUUUGUCAGGCGUGAAAGCCCCGGGCUCAACCUGGGAACUGCGCUUGAAACGGGCUUGCUAGAGAUCGGGAGAGGAGAGUGGAAUUCCCAGUGUAGAGGUGAAAUUCGUAGAUAUUGGGAAGAACACCAGUGGCGAAGGCGGCUCUCUGGACCGACACUGACGCUGAGGCGCGAAAGCGUGGGGAGCAAACAGGAUUAGAUACCCUGGUAGUCC